This 473-nucleotide ribosomal RNA is filed under the name uncultured bacterium. RNAcentral's name for it is "bacterial SSU rRNA". It matches the Rfam family "Bacterial small subunit ribosomal RNA", at positions 44 to 501 of the family's 1533-position model. The record is from RNAcentral.
GCGGCUAACGCAUGAAGUCGAGCGAACUUUUGGGAGCUUGCUCCCAAAAGUUAGCGGCGGACGGGUGAGUAACACGUGGGCAACCUGCCUAUAAGACUGGGAUAACUUCGGGAAACCGGAGCUAAUACCGGAUCAUUCUUUUCUACACAUGUAGGAAAGCUAAAAGACGGUUUACGCUGUCACUUAUAGAUGGGCCCGCGGCGCAUUAGCUAGUUGGUGAGGUAACGGCUCACCAAGGCCACGAUGCGUAGCCGACCUGAGAGGGUGAUCGGCCACACUGGGACUGAGACACGGCCCAGACUCCUACGGGAGGCAGCAGUAGGGAAUCUUCCGCAAUGGACGAAAGUCUGACGGAGCAACGCCGCGUGAGUGAUGAAGGUUUUCGGAUCGUAAAACUCUGUUGUUAGGGAAGAACAAGUACGAGAGUAACUGCUCGUACCUUGACGGUACCUAACCAGAAAGCCACGGCUAAC